CACUUUACCUCCAGUCACCGGCUGAAAAGAUGUUUUUAGAUGUCAAUAGGAAAGAAAGGAAAAGAUUAUUUGGGUCAUAUAGCCCCUAUUUUCCUAUUUGACGCUGAUGUUUUUUGACGUUUCGAUUUGUAAAUUGCCAUUUUUUCUCCCAUAAGAAUACAGAGUAGCUGCUACUGGAGUUGUAGAGAGCUAGAGAGCAUGAUUUAUUUAUUUUUCUACUUUCUUCAGCUGAGAAACUAAAUAGGAGUGAAAAGAAAAUCAAGAACAGAGCUUUUUAACAGAAAAAAAAAAAGGACUAACUCUCCUUUUUUCAGUCCUCCCAAUCCUGUGUCAAUCCCCCCGACCUUUAAAGGACACUUGACCUCUGCAAGCAUCUUCAGUUAUUGAAGUUUUCCUUCCCUUGGAGACCCGACUAUCUCCAGGAAGACUAGAUGACUGCGAUCUCUCCUUUGUUUCAUCCCUUCUCCCGCGGCCUCCCUCCUCCCCCCCGGUAACUUUUUCUGGAUCUCUACUCUCUAGUCUCGCUCUCGUGUCCCAAUUUUUCCAGCUCUUUGGCCGUGAGCUUCUGAAGAGCGAAGCGUGUCCGUGAACUAGCUUAGCGCCAAACGUACACUAGAAGCUAAAUGAGCGUUGAAUGACCCAUCUCGCGGAUUCGGCUAUGGGAUCUCACCAUAUCCCACCUUAGCCCAAGCUCUGAUUCCCCAUGGCUUGUGGCGUUUUUCAGAAAGACAAAAAGAAGAAUCUGGGGACAGAAAGUGUUUGAAAGCAGGAUUGCCAAAAGAAGGCGGGAUGGUACAGUGGGAAGAGCCCGAGAUCCCGGCUCAGGGAAUCCAGAUUCUGAGCAGACUCUCUUACAUCCGCGUUGUCUGUAUGACCCGAGACAAGACACUUUUCAUAAUCGCCUCCUCGGUCGGGGAAUGAGGACUUAGCUGAUCUCCGAGGUGGGUUUCAGUUCUAAAUCCCGUCAAGUCGAUUACCUUUUUUUGGGGGGGAGGUUCCAAGGUAAACAAGCUACCCCAAGCUGGUUUUCAUUAGGUUUUUUUAAUUUGUGGAAAUGUAGUCCCCCCCCCCCCCAAGAUUCAGACGGUCACGUUUUAUCCGAGAGGGGAGCUUCCUAGUGAGACAAAUGUGACUUAUAGUUUGAAAAGGAGUUUUGGAUCACAAAGCGCCGCGUUCGAUCCCCAGACGAAGCUGGGAGGUAGGAAAGUGCCGGCAUCUCCCACUGCGUUUUAUAAAAGGGAAACGGUCUCCCAAGUGAUCAGCAGACCGAGGGAAGUCCGCGGUUUCCCGGCUCCGAAUUGAUGGGGAUCGGGAUGGGCUGGGAAGCCCAAUCUUUGCAUUCAGAGACUUGUUGCCUCCAAAUGUUCGGGCUUGAAGGAACCUUAAAGAGCCAAGAGCAGCCUCUGAUUUUGAAGGAGGAGGGAUCUCUCCCCUGCCGUCCCCCAGUCUCGGACCCUCUAGGUCCCACUACUCUCGCUGCGGGGUGGGGGUGGGGGGGAGGCGAGAGAGGGAGAUCGGCUCCCCGUCCCCACCACGUUCCGGCCAGGCUCGAGGCGCUGGGAACCGGGGAAUCGGGAGAGGCUUUCAGUGGGAGACGGCCCCGGAGCUGGGCCUUGAAGGAAGGGAGGGAUUCCAAGGGCGGAGGUGAGGGGGGGGGUGGGGGGAGUCGCAUUCCAAGCCUGGGAACGAUCUGGAGAACGGGGGCGGCAGCAACGCCAAAGGCCAUAUUCCCGCCCGGCCCCAGAGAAAUCGGUUGCGCUGGAAUAUUGAGCACAUGGGAUGGGGGGGAGGGGAGUAGCAGCAGAUAAGGGGGGCUCCGGGGGAGGGGGGUGCCUCAGACACCCGGCCGAGCCGGGCACUGCGCAGACGCCCCGAGGAGGGAGGCGGGCUUUUUCCAGCAACUAUUUAAGUUUCCCCCAAGUCUCGGCAGUCGGGGCUCGGGCUCGGCUGAGGGCUGCCGGUGGCCGGCUCGCCUCCCUCCCCUUCGUCCUCCCCGCUUCCCGCUGGCCUCGUCUCGUCUGGGCCAUGCAGUCCGUGGUGUCUCCCGUGACCAAGGCCAUCUUCGUGGCUUUGUUCCUCUUUGCCAUCCUGCUCAUCCUCUACGUGAUCCUCUGGUACAUCUGCAGAGACGUGGACAACGACUACAUCUGAGGAGCCCGGGGACGCCGGCCGGCCGGAUGGCCGCCGUCUCUGGCGCGAACAGAAUGGAAAUUUCCCAUCACACUCCUUUCCAGUCCUUUGUGGUGGCUUUGAAACAACAUUGGAGGGAUAUGUGGAAGAAUCUUGUCGACAUCUUUAACCCAAUGCUGGCAAAGAGCCAUAUCAAGUCUUUUUUGAGGGGAACGGAUCAGGAAGGGAAACCAAUGGGCAAAAGUAAAGAGAAAAAAAGCAAGAGAAGUGGAUUGUGUGAUUAUACAAAUAGUGGACUCAGUACUCGUGAAUGGCUUGAUGUCAGUAUGGUUUUUUGUGAAGCAUUAUUUUGAGAUAAAGACAGCUAGGUGGCGCUGCAGUGGAUAGAGUGCUGGACCUGAAGUCGGCAAGAUUUAUCUUCCCGUAUUCAAAUCUGACCUCAGACAUUUACUAGCUGUGUGAUCCUGAGCGAGUCACUUAACCCUUUGCCUGUGUUUCCUCAUCUGUAAAAUGAACCAGAGAAGGAAAUGGCAAACCGUUCCAAUAGCUUUGCCAAGAAAACCCCAAACAGGAUCGUGAAGAAUCAGGCACAACUCAAACAACUCAACAACAUACAUCGAGAGAAACAGAAGAAUCCACAAAAGACGUGUUAAGUAUGGGGCCCCCUGUGAGAAAGAAGGGAAUUUGGUUAUUUGUUUUAUGUUUGACUCUGAUCACACUCAUACUUUUGGAUUCCUACUCCCUCUGCUUUGAGCUUUUGGAGACUGGGAAAGAAGGAAAAAAUAGUAAGGAGGGAUAAGUGGAACCCAUUUGGUGGGAGAAAUUAGGAGAGAAAAAUAGAACGGGUGCUCUGAAGCAGUUUGUACUAGCUUUGAAAAAAAAGAAAUUAUCUUUUUUAUAAAGGAUGAAGAGCAGAGUAAGUCUGACUGUCACUCAGUCUAGUGCUCAAGAAGCUUCAGUGGCUCCCUAUUGCUUCUUGGGUAAAAUACAAUCUCCUUUGGCAUUGAAAGCCCUUCACAAAAUGCCUCUAACUUAUUCUUCCUGACUGAUAGCACAAUACUUCUCCCCCCCCCCCCCACACACACACUUUACAUUCGAACCAAAUUGUUUUAGGUAUGUGACAUUUUAUUCACGAGUUGUUCCCUAUGUGUGGACUGCUCUCCUGCCUCAUUUCCACCUUUUGUAAUCCCUAGCUUUUUUUUCAAGGCUAAGCUCAAGUGCUACCUUCUAAACAAGCAAUUGAUACUUAUCUCCUCAGUUAUUAGUAUCUUCUCACCAGUUACAUUGUAUUUUGUGUAUAUAAGUAUGUAAUUUAAAUAUUUCAUUUAAAACAACAUUGGAUAGGAGUACAUCUAAUAUAAAUUGGAUGUAAUUAACAACUACACUGCAAUUAAUAAUUGCAGCACAUGAAGUAUCAUAAGAAAUUUUCAGUUACUCUAAGGCCUUAUCAGGAUUGAGUUCAUUUUUUCUAAUUUGCUUUUCUUCUGAGUCUCUUCUUAUCACUUCACCUUUGAUGUAAGUCUUUCUAGAUUUCUUUAUAUUCUUCAUAUUUGAUGGUCUUAAUGGCAUAUUAUUCCAUUAUACCCAUGUGCCAUAUUUAACUAUUCCUCUAUUAUUCAACAUCUAGUUUUCAGGAGGUUUUUUUUUUUUUUUAAGUAACAUGUAAUACUCCUGUGAAAAUUUUAGAAUGGGUAGAUUUUUUUUUAAUAUUGCUUUCAAGAUAUAUUUUCAACACUAGAAUUAUUGAGUCAAAGGAUAUGAUUGUUUUUGUAAUUUGCUGCAGAAUUGUCCUCCAAAAUUAGUAUUUAAGUUUUCAGUUUCGAUGGAUGAAUCCGUCUCUUCACAAUUCUACCAGUUAUGAGUUUAGUUGCUUUCAGUUUCUUUUUGCCAAUUAGUUGGCAAAUAAAUUGAAGUGGGACCUCAAAAUUGUUAUAUAUUGCAUCUCCUUGAUUUGAGCAUUUCCCCAAGUAAUUAUUAAUAAUUAAUGUUGUCUUUUUAAAGCUGCCUAUCAUAUCCUUUGACCAUUUAUGCACCGUGGAUUCGGAAUUACUCUUGUAACUUUUUAAUAGUUUGAUAUAUAGAUGUCUAGCUUUUAUCUGUCAUGUUUGCUUUAGAUAUAUUUAACAAUCCAUGAUUAUUUUUCUUUUUCAUUAUAUUGCUUUAAGUUGGAGAGAAACUUUUAAAUAUUUUAUUAAGUCAAUCCUUUGAUUCCCAUUUCCUUUAUUUUUAAUUGAAAAACAAAUCACUAUCCUUUACACAGUUAUUACAAAUGCUAUAUUCUUCUUUCUUCCACAUUGUUAUAGUUUUUAUAUUUGUUUCAUUUACUUGGAAUCUGGUUAGAUUAUACAUUGUGAGAUAUGGAUCUAAAUUCCUUUUCCAUCUCAUUGUCAACUAAUUUUCCUGAAUACAUAUGUUAAAUAAUGAAUCUUAUACAGUUUUUAUUUUGCAUAGGCUUAUCAAAUACUGAUUUUUGUGUGUAUGUCUAUUGAGUUGCAAGUUUGUUGUAUCUAUUAUAUUUCAUUGGUAUAUUUUUUUUCCUUCUAGUGCUAAUCAUGAUAAUUAGUUUUAGCAGUUUUUCUCUCUAGCGUGACUUAAUAUUCCUGUCUAUUUGUUUAUAUACAUUUCCUUAUGAUGUUAUCUGGUUCUAUAAAGAAGCAUUUUAGUCUUUUCAUUGUUCGAGUAAAUAAAUACAUAUAUUUUGUCGUUAUAAUUGCACAGCUGUCCUUCUAUAGGUCUUGUCUAUUCAUAGGUAGAUAGAUUUCCACAUAUUUGACAGUUUCUGUUAUUGCUGGAGGGAUUUCUUUUUGUUAUGUUUUCUUAAUCUCUAUUAUUAAUAAAUAAGACUGUAGAUGACUGUG
This is a long non-coding RNA of Antechinus flavipes (yellow-footed antechinus), 4988 nucleotides long. RefSeq lists it as uncharacterized. The record is from RefSeq and is a predicted model, not a curated record. Lineage: Eukaryota; Metazoa; Chordata; Mammalia; Dasyuromorphia; Dasyuridae. The transcript is spliced from 4 exons.